UAAUUAUACUAUGUAUAUGUAUAUGAAAAUAAAAUAAAGUCCAUGUUGAUAUCAAUAAACAUAAAUAGCUUUAGUUACUAAGGUGUAAACGUCAACAACACGAAUAAUAUGUACUAGGAAGUGAACAAAACAAUUAUGAGUGGGAACAUGUAUAUCAUGGAUAUCAAAGAUAUGCCUUUACUGCUAUCUGUGGCCAAUAAUAACGUAUGUGAGACAUGGUCACUAACAAAAGAUGAUGAGAAGCAUUUCGACAAUCGUGGAGUGCAAAUGGCCAACUUAUUAAAAACGUAAUCAUGAGAAAAAUAAGCAGAACAAGAUCCCUGAAAAGGUCAAGGUUCCGGUGGAUCGAUAUAAUUG
Cinara cedri is the source of this 357-nucleotide non-coding RNA. The record is from the annotation of a GenBank genome assembly. NCBI's taxonomy places the organism in Eukaryota, Metazoa, Arthropoda, Insecta, Hemiptera, Aphididae.